UUGAUAUAGACAAGAUUAGCAUGCUCCCAACGCAAGGAUGACAUGCAAAUUUGUGAAGCGUUCCAUAUUUUG
This 72-nucleotide small nuclear RNA is filed under the name Rhinopithecus bieti (black snub-nosed monkey). The record is from RNAcentral. Lineage: Eukaryota; Metazoa; Chordata; Mammalia; Primates; Cercopithecidae.